GCCUAAAGAGAAGGGAGACUCUUUCAGCUCUCCCCAUCUAUCUGGGUGACUUUGGUUAGGGUUUCUUUACCAUGACAGAGGGACAGGGUGUAAAGCAGAGUUGAACAGAACAGAGGCCAGAGGAGCCCAGCAAGAAGAUGCAGAGCCCUUGGCCCAGGAGGCUCUAGGCACCAGAGGGGAGGUGAUCCAGGGGGCCUGCCACCUUCUAACAGACAGUCCAGUGCUUCAGGGACCCUGCUGGUAAGAGGUCACUGUUGAGGAGAGAGAAUGUGUGCA
Neopelma chrysocephalum (saffron-crested tyrant-manakin) is the source of this 276-nucleotide long non-coding RNA. RefSeq lists it as uncharacterized. NCBI's taxonomy places the organism in Eukaryota, Metazoa, Chordata, Aves, Passeriformes, Pipridae. The record is from RefSeq and is a predicted model, not a curated record. The transcript has 4 exons.